This 71-nucleotide transfer RNA is filed under the name Trichonephila inaurata madagascariensis. It matches the Rfam family "tRNA". From Rfam's summary of the family: Transfer RNA (tRNA) molecules are approximately 80 nucleotides in length. Their secondary structure includes four short double-helical elements and three loops (D, anti-codon, and T loops). Further hydrogen bonds mediate the characteristic L-shaped molecular structure. tRNAs have two regions of fundamental functional importance: the anti-codon, which is responsible for specific mRNA codon recognition, and the 3' end, to which the tRNAs corresponding amino acid is attached (by aminoacyl-tRNA synthetases). tRNAs cope with the degeneracy of the genetic code in two manners: having more than one tRNA (with a specific anti-codon) for a particular amino acid; and 'wobble' base-pairing, i.e. permitting non-standard base-pairing at the 3rd anti-codon position. The record is from Rfam by way of RNAcentral. Lineage: Eukaryota; Metazoa; Arthropoda; Arachnida; Araneae; Nephilidae.
GGGGGUAUAACUCAGUGGUAGAGCAUUCGUCUGCAAAUCGAGAGAUCCCGGAUCAAACCUGGGUGCCCCUU